RNAcentral lists this ribosomal RNA (482 nucleotides) under uncultured bacterium. RNAcentral's name for it is "bacterial SSU rRNA". It matches the Rfam family "Bacterial small subunit ribosomal RNA", at positions 29 to 523 of the family's 1533-position model. The record is from RNAcentral.
AACGAACGCUGGCGGCGCGUCUUAAACAUGCAAGUCGAACGAUCUGUAGCAAUACAGGGAGUGGCGGACGGGUGAGGAACACGUAGGAAUCUACCUAGAAGAGCGGGACAACUUUGGGAAACCGGGGCUAAUACCGCAUAGUACAGAGAUGUUAAAGGGCUAGCAAUAGUCGCUUCUAGAUGAGUCUGCGGUCUAUCAGCUUGUUGGUGAGGUAAUGGCUCACCAAGGCAGCGACGGAUAGCCGGUCUGAGAGGAUGAUCGGCCACACUGGCACUGAGACACGGGCCAGACUCCUACGGGAGGCAGCAGUUAAGAAUCUUGCGCAAUGGGGGAAACCCUGACGCAGCGACGCCGCGUGAAGGAUGAAGGCUUUCGGGUUGUAAACUUCGGUAGACUGGGAAGAAGAACUACGUUCGUUGAGGGCGUAGAGUGACGGUACCAGUCUGAAGCCCCGGCUAAUUACGUGCCAGCAGCCGCGGUAA